Long non-coding RNA from Oncorhynchus mykiss (rainbow trout), 1731 nucleotides. RefSeq lists it as uncharacterized. Lineage: Eukaryota; Metazoa; Chordata; Actinopteri; Salmoniformes; Salmonidae. The record is from RefSeq and is a predicted model, not a curated record.
GAAUAAGCCUGUAACGUAACAAACUUUUGAAAAGGUAAAGGGGUCUGAAUACUUUCCGAAUGCACUGUAUAGAGAGCGAGAGAGAGAGCAGAGUUUUCCAUCGUAUUCCCCCAUGUUAGGCUAGCUUCCUCUCUGUAGUGUAUGUAGGUCUUUGUUAACAAAUAUUUACGGUGUGAUUUUUUGAUAACACUUUACAUUACAGUGCUCUUAUUACUGUGUAAUUAGUCCUGUAAGUACAAUUUAAGUAUUGCAAUUACUCAUUACAAUCAUUACAUUGUACCUAGGGUAGGUUACUGCUGUAAGUUAGUGUAAGUACAAUGUAACAAUGAGUAAUUACAAUACUUGUUCAUCUGCACGUACAGGUAUAAUUACACAGUAAUAAGGGCACUGUAAUGUAAAGUGUUACAGAUUUUUCAAAAUGGUGGAACUAAAUACAUAAAGUGCUUUUAUUCUAAAUUGUCAAACUAUUUGUCUCAUAUAUUCAUUAUUUGAUUUUCAUAGACAAUACUCACUUUUGAUGAUGAGAAUCAUCACAGUCCUCAUCAUGCAUUGUAACAGGAACAGCCUCCCAGUCCUCACUUACAGAAAACUUAAAACAUGAAAUGAAAGUGUUGGGGGUGUGGUGGAGCACAAUAACCAUUUCCUAAAAUGUUUACCCCCAGACAUAUCAGUCAGAAAAGCACAUUAAGAAUGUAUUUCUCAGAACAGCGACUAGAUUUACUGAUCCUUCGCAUGUUUUGACUAAAAUGUAAAUGUUCAACUUUCACUGUCACAGUGUACUUGCAAAAAUCUCAUGAAUUUGAUGAAGAACAUUGUGUUUUAUUCCACAGUGUUUGUUAACAGAAAUGUAUUUGUUCCAUGACCUCUGCACUGCAUGGAGCUGUUCAUUUCCAGUAUCUAUUCAAUAGAACUGUGCUAUUGGCUGUUCUAUGAGCAAAUACAAAACGUUAAAUGGAGGAAUCUUGAAAACAUGAGAGCAGUUUUUUUUUAAACAUUCUGAUGCAGUUCAAACCAUGGCUUGAUGGGCUCUUGGUGGCCCUCUGUUUCCUGUACCAGUGGUAGGUGGACUUGUUACCCACAGAAAAAAAUAAAUGUGUUGAUGCAUUCACAUCCUAUGGACAGUUCUUUCAGGAACUGACAGGAAACAAUGAAAAAGAGAACAGCUCUAACAAUUCUAUGUUGUGAGUAGAAAUGUAUUUUAUCCACUUGGGAGAUACAUUGUAUAUAUUUGAUUAAGUUUCAGUAUUCUGUUAAUUAAUAAGGGUUAAAACCUUUAAAUGUCCAUGCUCUGAGGCUUUGGGAGCAGGUCAAAAUGAGAUUCUAGUGAAACCAGGGGACACAUCGGCUGUGACAUUACCCUGGAGGACGAGAUCAUGUGGUUUUUGAGGCAGUGUAUUACACAGGCCUGUUCAGAAGCAAUCUGAGCAUACUGACCAUCUCAGAGAGCGACGUGGGUCUGUACUACUGUGUUGAGCAGAGGGCUAACAUAUUUGAGAUCGGAAGUGGGACCAAGCACUCCCUUAUCAGUGGUGAUCAGCUCUCUACUACUGUUGUUGGAAUGAAGUUGUCAUGGUUUAUCACCUUGAUCAUAGCCCCCAUGUUCUUUGUGCUGGGGUCCGUUCUCGGUGUCUGCCUGUUGACGACCUGAUCCUGACAAAUGUGGAUUCUGGAACAACUUGGUUGAAGCCUGCCAUCUAGUGGACCAAUAUCCAGAAAAGCACAAAUUAUGUG